Molecule: unclassified non-coding RNA, 357 nt
Filed under: Hevea brasiliensis (rubber tree)
Lineage: Eukaryota; Viridiplantae; Streptophyta; Magnoliopsida; Malpighiales; Euphorbiaceae
Source: RNAcentral
AAAAAAAAAAAAAAAAAAGACAGACAGUUCUGAUCACCUAUACAAAGAGACUAACAUCUAUCAAUUAAAAGUAAUUAAAUACAUCCAAAGCAAUAAUAAUAAAUCCUAGGGUUUGCCGAUAUUUCGGUAGAAUUUCCUCUGUAACUAGAUUUAACCCCCUAUGAAGCAAAUACAAGAAAAGUAGCAACAACAACCAAAAAAAUUGACUUUAGGCCCACAACAAAUUCACAAUGCCCAUCUAGGGCUGACAAGAAUCCUAAUUCUACAUCCGAUUUUCCAAUAUCUAGUUUGAGUCCCUAAUUACUUUAUAGUUUAAUUAAAUAUUCCAGUACAUCAAAAAUUAUAAAAAUAUUCUUG